UGGUUGCCUUCCAUCUAAUGGAUACAUCUUUCCUUCAAUCUUGAAAUACACGUUCGUAAGAAUUCGUAAGUAACAUGUCCGUGCAGUUGCACCGCUUGGAAAGCUUUUGUUUGGCGUGCCCCAUAGUCAGGCAUCAAGUAAGCGGUAGGUAUAAUCUGCCUUCCAAAGGAGUGCUGCAUCGCCCUGGGAGUGUUACAAAGCUCAGCGCAAAAGAUUGCACCGAACAUCGCAGGUGAUCCUUGUAGUGAGAGAUCCCCAGAUCUGCAUAUUGGCUAUGUGUGAUCGGGCUUUGGCUUUCUGUAAAACAAUGCACCGGCAGCUUGGAAGGCCAUUCCUUGCCGCAUGGAAAUGAUGUUAGGCCUUUUCUUGCAGCCUUCGUUGCAGUGCAGCCAUGGAAACUCGACAAGCAAAGGAGGCAGAGAGCAGCACGGGGACAUCUGGGCGAGGCUUGCAAUACACCACUUAUGAGGCUAACGCCUGGGGUGCUGUCUUCUCAAAGUCAGG
This 504-nucleotide long non-coding RNA is filed under the name Coccomyxa subellipsoidea. RNAcentral's name for it is "long non-coding RNA (CSUB_LNC000076)". The record is from RNAcentral. Lineage: Eukaryota; Viridiplantae; Chlorophyta; Trebouxiophyceae; Coccomyxaceae.